UGGCGGACGGGUGAGUAAUGUCUGGGAAACUGCCUGAUGGAGGGGGGUAACUACCGGAAACGGUAGCUAAUACCGCAUAACGUCGCAAGACCAAAGAGGGGGACCUUAGGGCCUCUUGCCAUCGGAUGUGCCCAGAUGAGAUUAGCUAGUAGGUGGGGUAAAGGCUCACCUAGGCGACGAUCCCUAGCUGGUCUGAGAGGAUGACCAGCCACACUGGAACUGAGACACGGUCCAG
This 235-nucleotide ribosomal RNA is filed under the name uncultured bacterium. RNAcentral's name for it is "partial 16S ribosomal RNA". It matches the Rfam family "Bacterial small subunit ribosomal RNA", at positions 96 to 334 of the family's 1533-position model. The record is from RNAcentral.